UCGAGAAUUUUUCACAAUGGGCGAAAGCCUGAUGGAGCGACGCCGCGUGGGGGAUGAAUGGCUUCGGCCCGUAAACCCCUGUCAUUUGCGAUCAAACCUUGAUAUUUAAAAGAUGUCGAGCUGAUAGUAGCGAAAGAGGAAGGGACGGCUAACUCUGUGCCAGCAGCCGCGGUAAUACAGAGGUCCCGAGCGUUGUUCGGAUUCACUGGGCGUAAAGGGUGCGUAGGUGGUGAGGUAAGUCGGAUGUGAAAGCUCGGAGCUCAACUCCGAAAUGGCAUUGGAAACUACCUUGCUUGAGGAUUGGAGGGGGGACUGGAAUACUUGGUGUAGCAGUGAAAUGCGUAGAUAUCAAGUGGAACACCAGUGGCGAAGGCGAGUCCCUGGACAAAUCCUGACACUGAGGCACGAAAGCUAGGGGAGCAAACAGG
RNAcentral lists this ribosomal RNA (428 nucleotides) under uncultured Verrucomicrobiota bacterium. RNAcentral's name for it is "bacterial SSU rRNA". It matches the Rfam family "Bacterial small subunit ribosomal RNA", at positions 355 to 776 of the family's 1533-position model. Lineage: Bacteria; Pseudomonadati; Verrucomicrobiota. The record is from RNAcentral.